This 75-nucleotide small RNA is filed under the name Lutibacter profundi. RNAcentral's name for it is "Flavo-1 RNA". It matches the Rfam family "Flavo-1 RNA". Lineage: Bacteria; Pseudomonadati; Bacteroidota; Flavobacteriia; Flavobacteriales; Flavobacteriaceae. The record is from Rfam by way of RNAcentral.
AAAUAGCGUUAAGGAUAGUAGUGGCAUACUUUUUAGGCGGCGACUAAAAAGAUAUAACGAAUAGCCUGACCCGUU